Molecule: ribosomal RNA, 455 nt
Filed under: Triticum dicoccoides
Lineage: Eukaryota; Viridiplantae; Streptophyta; Magnoliopsida; Poales; Poaceae
Description: rRNA LSU_rRNA_eukarya
Rfam family: Eukaryotic large subunit ribosomal RNA
Source: RNAcentral
GGAACAAUGUAGGCAAGGUAAAUCAGCAAAACGGAUCCGUAACUUCGGGAAAAUGAUUGGCUCUGAGGACUGGCUCGGGGGUCCAGGCCGCGAACCCGUCGGCUGUCGGCGGAUUGCUCACGCGACGAGAGCGGGUCGCCGCAUGUCGGCCGGGGGACGGACCGGGAAUCGCCCUUCGGGGGCUUUCCUCGAGCAUGAAAUGGUCGACUCAUAACUGGUACAGACAAAGGGAAUCCGACUGUUUAAUUAAAACAAAGCAUUGCGAUAGUCCUCCCAGGUGCUGACGCAAUGUAAUUUCUGUCUAGUGCUCUGAAUGUCAAAGUAAAAAAAAAAUCCAACCAAGCAUGGGUAAACGGCGGAAGUAACUAUGACUUUCUUAAUGUAGCCAAACACCUCGUAAUCUAAUUAGUGACGGGCAUGAAUUGACGAGAUUCCUACUAUCCUGUCUACUAACC